GCUGAUGCUUCCCUCCUGAAGCUGCAUACUCGGUUGAAGAGGAUGGCCUUCCUCAAUACAGAUGGACUGGUCUUUGGUCUAGGGUGUGCAAGUAGCUGCAUUCCCCUGCUAGAAUCUCCAAACAAGCUUUUAUUGAUUUCAUAUUAGGUAGACAGAGCUUCACAUGAGAGAGAAGCCAGAGCACCAUUCAGUGCAUGAAGCACUCAAACCAG
RNAcentral lists this small nuclear RNA (212 nucleotides) under Erinaceus europaeus (western European hedgehog). Its description in RNAcentral is "7SK RNA". It matches the Rfam family "7SK RNA". Rfam says of the family: 7SK was discovered as an abundant small nuclear RNA in the mid-70s but a possible function has only recently been suggested. Two independent studies have found that 7SK RNA binds the CDK9/cyclin T complex (known as elongation factor P-TEFb). The record is from Rfam by way of RNAcentral. Lineage: Eukaryota; Metazoa; Chordata; Mammalia; Eulipotyphla; Erinaceidae.